Molecule: ribosomal RNA, 32 nt
Filed under: Fusarium proliferatum
Lineage: Eukaryota; Fungi; Ascomycota; Sordariomycetes; Hypocreales; Nectriaceae
Description: partial 18S ribosomal RNA
Source: RNAcentral
UUCCUACCUGAUCCGAGGUCAACUUUCAGAAG